GUGAGAUUAGUAUAACUAGUACGUAGUGUUGUGAUCGCUAAAGAAACUCGAUGUUAUCUUACU
RNAcentral lists this transfer RNA (63 nucleotides) under Brachionus rotundiformis. RNAcentral describes it as "tRNA-His". The record is from RNAcentral. Lineage: Eukaryota; Metazoa; Rotifera; Eurotatoria; Ploima; Brachionidae.